This 233-nucleotide ribosomal RNA is filed under the name uncultured bacterium. Its description in RNAcentral is "partial 16S ribosomal RNA". It matches the Rfam family "Bacterial small subunit ribosomal RNA", at positions 103 to 334 of the family's 1533-position model. The record is from RNAcentral.
CGGGUGAGUAACACGUAACCAAUCUACCUUACCGUCCGGGAUAACUAGCCGAAAGGUUAGCUAAUACCUGAUACGCCUAUUGAGCGGCAUCGCUUGAUAGUGAAAGCAGCAAUGCGCGGUUUGAGGAGGUUACGGCCCAUUAGCCAGUUGGCGGGGUAACGGCCCACCAAAGCAACGAUGGGUAGCUGGUCUGAGAGGACGACCAGCCACACUGGGACUGAGACACGGCCCAG